This 257-nucleotide ribosomal RNA is filed under the name uncultured bacterium. Its description in RNAcentral is "partial 16S ribosomal RNA". It matches the Rfam family "Bacterial small subunit ribosomal RNA", at positions 524 to 776 of the family's 1533-position model. The record is from RNAcentral.
UACGUAGGAGGCAAGCGUUGUCCGGAGUUACUGGGCGUAAAGCGUGUGUAGGCGGUUGGCUGCGUCCGGUGUGAAAUCUCCCGGCUUACCUGGGAGGGGGCAUCGGAUACGAGCGGACUUGAGGGCAUCAGAGGCCAGUAGAACUCCCGGUGGACCAGUGAAAUGGGUAGAGAUCGGGAAGAAUACCAGUGGUGCAGACGGCUGGCUGGGGGUGUACCUGACGCUGGAGACAACGAAAGCAUGGGGGAGCAAACAGG